ACGCUACAUGUUGUUGAAAGUCGAAAGAUGUCCGUCCUUGUCCGUCCUUUCUGUUUAUUCUUUCUGUAUUAAGGAAACUGGAAGCUGCACUAAAGUUCACUUUAGCUGCACUUCCCUAGCUUCUGAGGCGUGCAUCUCCGCAGUAAAUGAGAAAAAUGAAAAGUAAACGCGUAGACCCUAAGUAUUAAAAAGUUACUAACAAAAUAAAUUCAGCGACAUUUUAUAUUCAGUUAUAAAGGAAAUUGCUCUAAAUAAAUAGGUAAUAUCUGGAAAUAUCAGGAAAAAGCUUCAAUGUAUUUACUGCAGAAUUAUUCUAGCCAAUAGCGCCUUUUUCGGCCUGCCGGUACCGCCGCCGUCGCUGUCUCCGCUGUUAUCCUGCUACCGCGCUCGCUUUCUCUUUUCGCGAGUGUUAUUGUCACUUUUAAAAUAUAAAGAUCAAAAGCGAGCGGACACGAAUGAUCCGCUCUCAAGCCUGUGCGAGCAAGCAAGUGCGAGUCUCGAUUUAGGACCGGUGAUUGACAGCCUCCGUCUCGCCACUGUUCUCCAUUUCAUCGAGCACGGCUACAAGGGAAUCGGAAGGAAAGGCCAGUGAGCAGGCAUUAACGGAGCCAAUGGACCAUAAAAAUGCCCCUGGUAAUUUCUACUAUGGAAUGUGCUAUCCUUUUUUACUACCAGUCAAGUCGUGUACAAGGCAAGUUUGAACAUUGUUAUAUGUGCCUACUUGUUUCCAGAGCUGCGAAGCAACAUUUUUUGGUAAUUAGCUACAAAAUUACAGUUCAAGGGUUUGUAUUUUGUGCCAUAUUUGGCACAAAUGAAGCAAUUGCUUCAUAAGCGUUAUGAAGCAAUAUUGUAAUCACAUUGAUAAGAUUGGCGGUGUUUCAUGUUUUGGUGGCUCGAGGGUUUCAUGUUUUUCCCUAAUUAAAAAUUUAGUUGCAAGUCGGCGCCUGUCGCUUACAUUCCUCUCACUCGUCCUUCGUCCAAUUUUUGCGCUUUUUUUGGUUGUAAUGCAUCACCAACUCUCCCAAGUUGCCACUCUUAAGGCACAUUCCCACCGGCGAUGUAAGCAGUCGCGUGAUGCGACUAGAUCGCAUCGCAAACAAAUUAGAUGGUCACACCGGCGUGCGCAAUGAGUGAGUCCAACGCCUUCGUUGGCAAGUCGUUUCUCGAAAACUCUCCCUCCGAACGCCGUUGAUUGGCUCAGCCGCUCCGCGACUAGAUCGCAUCACAAAAAAGUCGGGUCGAGUCGCGACUGCUCGAAUCGCGUCGUUUUUUGCCCGCAAUGGUCGCUUUUGCGAUGAAAGUGAUCGCACGACUAGAUCGCAUCGCCGGUGGGAACGCGCCUUUAUAGUACACUCCGCUUCACUAUAACUUGGCUAAGGGUGAAAGCUAUAUGGCCCCCGUGAGCCAAUUAAAGUGACAGAGGAAAGUACAUGACAGCACUCCACGGGAGGAAUGCACGACGGCUACAUUGUGAUGCAACUCGCUCUGACUGUCUUGCGGGGCCGCAGCGUUUGUUCUUUGCCAUGUUAUGGAAAAAUGUUAGUACCUCACACUAUGCUAUUCGGCUACUAAAAGGUUUUAAAAGUGUUGUGAAAUUUCUCUGCGCUCAUUAUUUCUUCAACUUGAUUUUUUAGGUCCAUGCGGUGUAGCAAGGGCUGCCCAGCACACCAGAGAGUAGCACCUUAGACCAUGCCACUCAGCUACAGAAAUGACCUUGCCAUGCCAGGGACGAACACCUUAGACUACACUACUCAGCCACAGGGCCAUACGGUGCAGAGAGGACUUGCCCACGCCGGGGAUUGUGACCUUACAGUAUGCCAGACAAUUACAGGGCCAUGAAAAGACAGCUGCAAGAUGACACAAAGCAAGAUGGUUUCCCAAUGCGUAAAGAUUGAACACCAACCUCUGAGAUGAAUCAGAAGAAGCGCCUGUAUAAAUAGGACACGAGUGUAGUAAUAAAACCAUAUUGCCAAUAUAAAUUGGCUCAGGGUCGUCCUUUGACUGUUUACAACAUAUCCAGGAAAGAAUAGAACGGAUUUAGGCAUGCGGCAUCUGAAUAUCCAAAACUGGUCUGCAGAACAAAAUUGCACGUACGUCGGACAUCCGCAAUGGGAUCCCCAUUGCGGAUGUCCGACGGACGUGCAAUUUUGUUCGCUUGGGCGCUCUGUCGGAUGUCCUGGGGAUGUUCAUCGGACGUACACGGAUGUUCGGUAGAUCUGAAUUGGAUCUCUAUCGGAUGU
Molecule: long non-coding RNA, 2240 nt
Filed under: Ixodes scapularis (black-legged tick)
Lineage: Eukaryota; Metazoa; Arthropoda; Arachnida; Ixodida; Ixodidae
Description: uncharacterized LOC115331531
Source: RNAcentral